RNAcentral lists this ribosomal RNA (639 nucleotides) under uncultured bacterium. RNAcentral's name for it is "bacterial SSU rRNA". It matches the Rfam family "Bacterial small subunit ribosomal RNA", at positions 34 to 661 of the family's 1533-position model. The record is from RNAcentral.
CGCUAGCCGGGAUUGCUUUACACAUGCAAGUCGAACGGCAGCAUGAGAGAGCUUGCUCUCUUGAUGGCGAGUGGCGGACGGGUGAGUAAUGUAUCGGAACGUGCCCGGUAGUGGGGGAUAACUACGCGAAAGCGUAGCUAAUACCGCAUAUUCUCUACGGAGGAAAGAGGGGGAUCGUAAGACCUCUUGCUACCGGAGCGGCCGAUAUCAGAUUAGCUAGUUGGUGGGGUAACGGCCUACCAAGGCGGUGAUCUGUAGCUGGUUUGAGAGGACGACCAGCCACACUGGGACUGAGACACGGCCCAGACUCCUACGGGAGGCAGCAGUGGGGAAUUUUCGACAAUGGGGGGAACCCUGAUCGAGCCAUCUCGCGUGUGGGACGAAGGCCUUCGGGUUGUAAACCACUUUUCUCAACGAAGAAAAGUCUUAGGCUAAUACCUUAAGAUGCUGACGGUAGUUGAGGAAUAAGCACCGGCUAACUACGUGCCAGCAGCCGCGGUAAUACGUAAGGUGCGAGCGUUAAUCGGAAUUACUGGGCGUAAAGGGUGCCCAGGCCGCUUGAAAAGAACGGUGUGAAAUCCCCGGGCUCACCCUCGAACUGCACUAUUAACUGCCAAGCUAGAGUACGUCCGAGGGGGG